AACGAACGCUGGCGGCAGGCUUAACACAUGCAAGUCGAGCGCACCAUUUAUGGUGAGCGGCAGACGGGUGAGUAAUGUAUGGGAAUCUACCUAUUACUACGGAAUAACACAGAGAAAUUUGUGCUAAUACCGUAUAGUUCCGAGAGGAUAAAGAUUUAUCGGUAAUAGAUGAGCCCAUAUUAGAUUAGCUAGUUGGUAAGGUAAAGGCUUACCAAGGCGACGAUCUAUAGCUGGUCUGAGAGGAUGAUCAGCCACACUGGGACUGAGACACGGCCCAGACUCCUACGGGAGGCAGCAGUGGGGAAUAUUGGACAAUGGGCGCAAGCCUGAUCCAGCCAUGCCGCGUGAGUGAUGAAGGCCUUAGGGUUGUAAAGCUCUUUCGCCGGUGAAGAUAAUGACGGUAACCGGAAAAGAAGCCCCGGCUAACUUCGUGC
RNAcentral lists this ribosomal RNA (434 nucleotides) under uncultured bacterium. Its description in RNAcentral is "bacterial SSU rRNA". It matches the Rfam family "Bacterial small subunit ribosomal RNA", at positions 29 to 508 of the family's 1533-position model. The record is from RNAcentral.